CUACGGGAUGCAGCAGUAGGGAAUCUUCCGCAAUGGGCGAAAGCCUGACGGAGCAACGCCGCGUGAGUGAUGAAGGUCUUCGGAUCGUAAAACUCUGUUAUUAGGGAAGAACAAAUGCGUAAGUAACUGUGCGCGUCUUGACGGUACCUAAUCAGAAAGCCACGGCUAACUACGUGCCAGCAGCCGCGGUAAUACGUAGGUGGCAAGCGUUAUCCGGAAUUAUUGGGCGUAAAGCGCGCGUAGGCGGUUUUUUAAGUCUGAUGUGAAAGCCCACGGCUCAACCGUGGAGGGUCAUUGGAAACUGAAAAACUUGAGUGCAGAAGAGGAAAGUGGAAUUCCAUGUGUAGCGGUGAAAUGUGCAGAGAUAUGGAGGAACACCAGUGGCGAAGGCGACUUUCUGGUCUGUAACUGACGCUGAUGUGCGAAAGCGUGGGGAUCAAACAGGAUUAGAUACCCCGGUAGUC
RNAcentral lists this ribosomal RNA (464 nucleotides) under uncultured bacterium. Its description in RNAcentral is "partial 16S ribosomal RNA". It matches the Rfam family "Bacterial small subunit ribosomal RNA", at positions 339 to 795 of the family's 1533-position model. The record is from RNAcentral.